Molecule: long non-coding RNA, 843 nt
Filed under: Strigops habroptila (Kakapo)
Lineage: Eukaryota; Metazoa; Chordata; Aves; Psittaciformes; Psittacidae
Description: lncRNA (ENSSHBG00005001564.1)
Source: RNAcentral
GGGGAUCCUGCCACGGAUCCUGCUGGGCGCGCGGGGGAUCGUUUGUGGACAGGCGGCGGGAGGCGGCGGAAGGUGUCGGCGAGAAGGAAGCUGAAGCACGGAGAUGCAUCUGUUGCCAUUGAAGAUCCUUCCCCAAAAAGCUGUGUGACUGGGGGAAAAACACUCUUGAGUUGCCAUGGCAGAAGAAGAUGGGGCUAAAUUCCAGACGUGAAUUGUAUGAGUAACUCAUUAGAACUUUCUAAUUUUUACCUAGGGUAGGGUGGAUCUGUGUAGUCUUCUGCAGUUGAUACCUUUCACAAGCAAUAGUAUUUCUGGUUAUCGAGCAGAGCUAGCAAAAGCUAAUUUUAGUCUAGAUCUUAAUCUCACUUUAGAAUUAACAGAAAUGAACUUUAUUUAAAAAGUUCAGCUUAAAUGAGAGAUUCUGCAGCCCACCUCUCCUCAUUACAAAGAAGUGCUGGAAUGUAGCUUGCUGUGCCUAAAAUUAGCCUUGAUUGCUUCUGUACAAAUGCGGCUGGGAUGACUAGCUUGUUUUCUGCUGCUUUCGGGGAUCUUCCACUGCUCCUGUCUUUGGGCUGUUGCAAAGUCUUAAGCAAUUCUAAUAACGUUCUUGGUAGUUAUAUGGCUGUGCUGCACUCUGUUAGGUGGCUGAUGUUACCACAGUACUGUUAGAUCCGAUGAUGUGCGCAUUUAGUGGUGGUGCUUCUGCUGUUUAGGUGUGUUAGAAGGGUGGCUGCAAGGAGUACACGUGUACUGCAUAAGCUGAAGGUAAGUUUGUGAAGUCUAGAGAAUGAAUGUGAUAUCUACAGUAAAUCAUUCAAAUGUAUGAAUAAGUCAAUAAAGAGA